CGGGAUGUAGCAUAGUCCGGUUAAUGUACCUGGUUUGGGACCAGGGGAUCGCAGGUUCGAAUCCUGCCAUCCCGA
RNAcentral lists this transfer RNA (75 nucleotides) under Flammeovirga kamogawensis. RNAcentral's name for it is "tRNA-Pro". It matches the Rfam family "tRNA". Rfam says of the family: Transfer RNA (tRNA) molecules are approximately 80 nucleotides in length. The record is from RNAcentral. Lineage: Bacteria; Pseudomonadati; Bacteroidota; Cytophagia; Cytophagales; Flammeovirgaceae. RNAcentral also lists the same sequence under 1 other name.